Long non-coding RNA from Ictalurus punctatus (channel catfish), 552 nucleotides. The record is from Ensembl. NCBI's taxonomy places the organism in Eukaryota, Metazoa, Chordata, Actinopteri, Siluriformes, Ictaluridae.
AUUUUAUCUGCGCGUUUUAUUCUAUCACAAGUUUAUACGCUUACAGCACAACCGCUACUAACCUAAAUUAAUCUCAUCAUACAUCAAUUAAUGCUGAUAUCAGAUUUGAUGGCAGUCUGUUUGGAGUGAGAUGUUUAGAGAGAGGUGUUUGGAGUGAGAUGAGAUGUUUGGAGUGAGAUGUUUAGAGAGAGGUGUGAGAUGUUUGGAGUGAGGUGUUUAGAGUGAGGUGUGAUGUUAGAAGUGAGAUGUGAUGUUUAGAGUGAGAUGUUUAGAGUGAGGUGUGAUGUUUGGAGUGAGAUGUUUGGAGUGAGGUGUUUAGAGUGAGGUGUUUAGAGUGAGGUGUUUAGAGUGAGGUGUUUAGAGUGAGGUGUGAUGUUUAGAGUGAGAUGUUUAGAGUGAGGUGUAUGGAGUGAGGUGUGAGAUGUUUAGAGUGAGAUGUUUAGAGUGAGGUGUGAUGUUUAGAGUGAGAUGUUUAGAGUGAGGUGUUUAGAGUGAGGUGUGAUGUUUAGAGUGAGAUGUUUAGGAGUGAGCUCCUACCUCUGUUCUUCCCCG